Molecule: unclassified non-coding RNA, 1210 nt
Filed under: Hevea brasiliensis (rubber tree)
Lineage: Eukaryota; Viridiplantae; Streptophyta; Magnoliopsida; Malpighiales; Euphorbiaceae
Source: RNAcentral
AGGUAAGCCACUAGAACCAGAAGAUACAGGUAAAGGCAAAGGGCUAAUCAGUUGAAUAGAAGAACAUUCAGGUGCGCUCAAGUUAUUUGGUUCCCCAUAUCUCCCAUCAUCAGCAUUGAAACUUUCAUUUAGAUCAAAUUCCACUUUGGCUUCAAUAUCUGGCCCCCCUGCAGCAGGUAAUGAUGCAGCAUCUGCAGCACCAGAUGUACUUUCCUCAGCUUCAUCAGCAUCAGUGGCAGUCAGCUUUGAUCCUCUACACCUUGCUUCCUGUUCUGGCUCUUGAAAAAAUGCAGGCAGUGCCUUGUGCUGAGCUUGGCAAUGUGCAUUAUUUUCUUUUUCAGUAUGCUGAUUCCUGCCAUCCGUUUCAUUAGCCUUUUCAGUCUUCACCUCCCCAAAAACAUUUUCGCUAACAAUAUCUUUACCAGAAUCGGUAGAAUGCAGCACAUCCCCAACAGUCCCCUUUGCAAACUCUAGGCGCAUCAUAGCAGGAGGUUUUUGCUCUCCUUGCAUAGUAAUGUUCAACUCGUUGUUCAUAUUUUUCAUGUUCUUAUCAUCUAUGUCCAUUGAUGGGCAAGGCAAUGAUCCUUCAACCCGUUCAGUCCCACCUUCUAAUGCAGAAACAUCAACCUUAUCUUCACUUUGAAGACAACCAUGCAACUUAUCUUUUGUAUCAGAUAUGCCAUCUGGGUUUGAAUUGCUAUCUACCUUUUCCUCCCAUGUUUCUCCGUCUGCAUUAUUUGAUGUCUUGUCUACUGUACUUGCAGAGGGCAGAGCCACUGAAGUGGCUAGUAAUGUGUCUUCUGAUUUCACAUUGUUUUCUAGGGAAGGUUCUGCAAUUUGCUGCACAUCCAUAUUGGAAGAAUUUGAAUGUUCAUUAAGCACCUCUGUUGGUUUUUCUUCUGAAAAUGAUACAAUUUUAUCCUCUGAGCUCUUAGCCCGCAUCGUACCAGUAACCCACUUCUCAUGUUCAUCAUCAAUGCCAUCAACUGACUCUGUACAAUCUCGAGCUAUGUUAUCACCUGGAUAUGACUUUAGUCUUGAAUCACUGCUUGUGCAGGAGUACUCAACAGCAGUGAUGUUUCUUGGUGGAGAAUGAUUUGGGGAAGCCAUAUCUAAUUUGGACAUCUCCCCAGCAGCCACACUAGCAAGCAGGUUCAUUCCAACAUCAUCCCCGGCUGAAAUGGAGGCAUUUACUUCAGAGUACUUGACA